Heterocephalus glaber (naked mole-rat) is the source of this 1588-nucleotide non-coding RNA. NCBI's taxonomy places the organism in Eukaryota, Metazoa, Chordata, Mammalia, Rodentia, Bathyergidae. The record is from RefSeq and is a predicted model, not a curated record.
UCUUUCUGAGGCUGGAGGCUGUCUAGGGUAGAGUCCCUCCUAAUUCGUUUGUAUGGGUCCGGGCUCCCCACUUCUCCCUUGUGGAGAAGUUGCGGCUAGGGGUACACAGUACCCCUUCUCAGUUGCAGCUAGGGAUACACAACAUUUUCCCACAGGAAGGCAGUCUUUUUUUUUUUUUUUUGGAAAAGCCCAGGACUCAGAACCUCUAGCCCUCUCUCCACUCUUUUUGGCAGUGAUAACAGAGCAGUCUCUGCCCUCGAGUAGAACACUGUUGAAAUCUUGACUCUCUCUUCAGUGGCUGAAUUACCUUUGAGGACAACCCCAGCCAAGGUGGGAAGGAGACGAGGACUCGACAGCCUGUGGUGAUUCUCUUGGGCUGGGGUGGCUGCAGGGACAAGAAUCUUGCCAAGUACAGCACCAUCUACCACAAAAGGAUCACUCAAAGAAAAGGCCCCUUUGAACUCUCCUUGGGAAUUCAUGAAAGAAACAACCUCGAAGUGUAAACACUCAGGGAAAACUGAUACCCGUCCAGGCCUUGAAAGCCCCUCAUACAGCUCCGCAAGUACAUCCCAGUGCGGGGAGAAAGACUGCCAAAUCUGCAGGGCCUGUGCACCUUCAACCCCUCAAGUCCUGCCUGGUCCCGAGAAGACAUCAGGUCCAGUUCUGUGGUGCUAACGCGGCUUGGCUGUCACCUUCAAUGCAUCACCCGAGGCUGAGAGCCCCCUCGUCACUCCUAGCUUGCAGCUUCACAAUUCCAUUUCCCCACCCAAACACAUCCAUUUAAUAUGCACCUCACAGGCAGGCAGCACAGUCACAAAGGAGCCCAACCAGCAGCAGUUCCCACGUGCUAACAAGGAUGACCAGCCACCAGCCCUGACCACCAGACUGCUACUGCCUGUAUGUUGGCUGCUUGUACCUCGGAAGCCACCUUCCAGGAGAGUGGUGGCCCGUAUCCGCUUCUGCCCACACCACUCAUACUCUUCAAAGCGAUUGCUGUUCUCAUGCUCGAUGUCCACAGCAUCAUCCUCAGCUAUGCAGGAGCCUUCCCUCUGGGAAGAGCAGAGCAGGAUUAUGUAGGGCCCAGGCCGCCAUCCCCACCUGCUCCCCAAGAGCCUGCAAGGAGGGAGGGCACAAGCUCUAGCCCCUGCUGUAAUGUGGUAGAUGGGGCCCUGGCUCUAGGGCUCCUCUGAGGUAAAAGAAAUCUAGAGGUCAAAGACCUAGGCCUCUUCCCAAUAAUUUUCCACUGGAGCCCAAGGGGGUGGGGGAGUGAGUGUUAAAGCAAAGGAAAAAAGCAAAGAACAGAGGGGAAGAAGCUGCUGAGACCAAGUGGAGACCCCAAGAACCCACAGAUUUGGGGACAAGUCAGCAGCUAGUCAGGGGAAGAGGGGGGGAAGGAAGACGGGUGGCAAUGGCCCCUCUACCUUAGAAAGGCAAUGCUCCACAUGCCUACUCAUCUCUUGUUCCGAUCCUGCCAGGGGGCGGUUGCACAGGGGACAUACCUGCCCUUCAUCUUGCUUCCUCCGUUUCAUUUUCCCAAUCCGAGCUGCAUGGAAAACCGAAAAUAAAGCAUAGAAUAAGCAGACAGGCA